Molecule: ribosomal RNA, 399 nt
Filed under: uncultured bacterium
Lineage: Bacteria
Description: partial 16S ribosomal RNA
Rfam family: Bacterial small subunit ribosomal RNA
Source: RNAcentral
AAUAUUGCGCACUGGGGGAAACUCUGACGCAGCAACGCCGCGCGAAGGAUGAAGGUUUUCGGAUUGUAAACUUCUUUGAUCGGGGAAGAAAAUGACGGUACACGAGGAAGAAGCCACGGCUAACUACGAGCCAGCAGCCGCGGUAAUACGUAGGGGGCGAGCGUUGUUCGGAAUUACUGGGCGUAAAGGGUGGGUAGGCGGCCGAUUAAGUCAGAUGUGAAAUACCAUGGCUCAACCAUGGGGGUGCAUUUGAAACUGGUUGGCUUGAGUGCAGGAGAGGAAAGCGGAAUUCCUAGUGUAGCGGUGAAAUGCGUAGAGAUUAGGAGGAACACCAGUGGCGAAGGCGGCUUUCUGGACUGUAACUGACGCUGAGGCACGAAAGCGUGGGGAGCAAACAGG